RNAcentral lists this transfer RNA (67 nucleotides) under Camelus dromedarius (Arabian camel). It matches the Rfam family "tRNA". From Rfam's summary of the family: Transfer RNA (tRNA) molecules are approximately 80 nucleotides in length. Their secondary structure includes four short double-helical elements and three loops (D, anti-codon, and T loops). Lineage: Eukaryota; Metazoa; Chordata; Mammalia; Artiodactyla; Camelidae. RNAcentral also lists the same sequence under 1 other name. The record is from Rfam by way of RNAcentral.
GAGGGUAUAGCUCAAGAGCACAUGCUUAGCAUGCAUGAGGUCUUGGGUUCAAUCCCCAGUAUCUCCU